This is a non-coding RNA of Schistosoma curassoni, 45 nucleotides long. The record is from Rfam. Lineage: Eukaryota; Metazoa; Platyhelminthes; Trematoda; Strigeidida; Schistosomatidae.
AUUCAGCUGAUGAGUCGCGAAUAGAACGGAACAAGCGUCCUGAAU